ACUUCUGGAAUUUUCUAAAGUAAGUCAGUGACAAAUUUAUUGUGAAUGCUGAGAAAUUAUAAUAAUUAUAAUCAAACAACAUUAGGACUGAAAACAGUACAAUCAACUUGAGACUUCUAAUAUUCUCAAGUUAUAAAGACUAUACUCUUUUAUCUUGGACCCGAGACCAAGAAAAAUGCAUGUGUCUUUGGUUACCAAAACAUACUAAAGAAAUUCUUCAAAGAAAUAGAAAAGCUGAAGAAGCCAUUUUUUUUCAUGCAGCUUUCUGAAAGGGAUAAAGUCUUACAAGUUGAAUGAAUAAAGCAAUGAAAUGGUAAUCACAACACUGGAAUAAAACAUUGCCACUUGUCAAGUCCAGGAUGAGCACAGAAGUCCCUGAGAAAGAGCAGAUGGUUUUCUCAACUCAAGGACACAUGAUGGAAGGACAGAGGGUUUGUGGGAAACCAGGAAGUUGUGACCAAAACCACAGACC
RNAcentral lists this long non-coding RNA (472 nucleotides) under Bos taurus (domestic cattle). RNAcentral's name for it is "long non-coding RNA NONBTAT000378". The record is from RNAcentral. Lineage: Eukaryota; Metazoa; Chordata; Mammalia; Artiodactyla; Bovidae.